UGGCCUUUGCACACUGCUGAGGGUGUAC
RNAcentral lists this non-coding RNA (28 nucleotides) under Mus musculus (house mouse). The record is from RNAcentral. Lineage: Eukaryota; Metazoa; Chordata; Mammalia; Rodentia; Muridae.